RNAcentral lists this ribosomal RNA (253 nucleotides) under uncultured bacterium. RNAcentral describes it as "partial 16S ribosomal RNA". It matches the Rfam family "Bacterial small subunit ribosomal RNA", at positions 524 to 776 of the family's 1533-position model. The record is from RNAcentral.
UACGUAGGGUGCGAGCGUUAAUCGGAAUUACUGGGCGUAAAGCGUGCGCAGGCGGUUCGUUGUGUCGGUGGUGAAAUCCCCGGGCUUAACCUGGGAAUGGCCAUGGAAACUGGCGAACUGGAGUGCGGCAGAGGGGGGUGGAAUUCCGGGUGUAGCGGUGAAAUGCGUAGAUAUCCGGAGGAACACCGGUGGCGAAGGCGGCUUCCUGGACCGACACUGACGCUGAGGCGCGAAAGCUAGGGGAGCAAACGGG